Heterocephalus glaber (naked mole-rat) is the source of this 2364-nucleotide long non-coding RNA. Lineage: Eukaryota; Metazoa; Chordata; Mammalia; Rodentia; Bathyergidae. The record is from Ensembl.
UUUCUUUCUGUCUCUUCUUCCGCUCUGUCCCUUCCUCCUCCUCCUUCCCCUCUUCCCUAACUUCCCUGCCUCCUUCCCUCCUUUCUGCCCCUCUUUCCCGCCCUCCAUCCUUCUUCCUCUUCCUUCCUGUCUCUUUGAAGGGUGGGACUGCAGCAGGGUGACAGGGGCCAGGUCCCCACCCACAGCUCUGUAUGAGGGCACUGAGGCUCUCGCUGAUCUUUCUGAUCGUGAAGAAAAGAUGGGUAGGAAAGAAUAAGAGGCCAAAAGGCAAACGGGGCCACGUGGGGUGCAGGCUGGGGCUCCCCCUGGACACUGGAGGAACGGCCAGUGUUGCAUUGGAGGAAACAGCCGCCCAUGUCUCCGUGGUGAUCACACAGCAUCGUUUUGAGUGAAGCGGAGUGGCGUUGGCUGCACUGGCUGGCGGAGGGGAUGCAUCCCAAAUGUUUCCUGGCCGCCCGCCCGAAGCUGCCUGCGGUUUCCUGGCUCCUCACCGGCUGCCCCCUGCCCGACCAGGACCCGGACCCUGCUCUCCGGCCACUGCUGCUCCUGCACCCAUGCUGUGGCUGGAGUUUGGCUUUGAGUUUUGCGCCUAAGUUGCCCGAGGGAGGGACUCCGGAGUCGGGCCGUGUUUCCCUGUCUUCGGCGGUGGCCGCAUCCCCCCUGCAGAGCAGAGCCCCCACCCGAAGCAUGCUCUGAGCCCCCAGCCCCAUCCCCAUCCCAGCAGUGACACCGAUAUUUGCUGGCUUAGGCUCCGCGCCAGUCCUACCUCAGUUCAGGGGAGCCGGGUGUGGGGAGGGGCCACUCGGGCUGCGUGUCUGGGGCCUGCAACUCUGGCUUUGGAAGAGCAUAGCGGGACUGCAGUCACUCUAUGUGGGGAGACCUGGGAUUGAACUUGGAAGACAGAGCCACAGAGUAGUUGGUGUCUCUGCAGCCCCUCAGUGUCAGAGCAUGGGGUGGAGAGAGGCCCCGGAGGGCAUGGAGAGCUCUUGACCCCUGACUGCUGCAUGGACGCCAGGCAGGUACCUCUGCAGGCAGAAGCCACUGCCACUGGCUCAGCUGUCUGUUGUCCCGCCGAGGACUGGCCUUUCCUUAACCAAAAGUGCAUGUGGGCAGCAAGCGAUUCCAGGCUGGUCUGGGUUUGGCAGAUUUUGUGUUUAAAAUGUAUUAUGAUCUUUAAAUAUGCCAGUCUGAUGUUGGCCACCAAGGCUACCCUGAAUUGAGAGAGAGAGAGCGCAUUCUGGCUCCCUCGCUGGUCAUGGGAAAGAUAAAGAAGGAAAGCAGUCUUGCAGGACGCCGUGCUUGUCAGAGAAACCCUCGACAGGAGGGGCACCCUGCUUCUCUGGUCAGUGUUCUGGAGAUGCCAGUGUGGUGGCCGCAACGGAAGCCAUCCCUGUCCCAGAGGCUCCGGACUCGUGGCUGGACCCCGCCCCAGUGCCUGUCUCCCCUGUCGUCCUGUAGAGGCCCCACUAAUUCUUGGAGAUGUGACUUGUUCAUUGGUUUCUUCUGUUGUUACUUUUUGUUUUGGAGAAAAAAAUAUUAUAUAUAUAUAUAAAUAUAUAGAUCUAUAUCAUUAUAGAGUAAUGCAUUAAUGAGGCUUUGUAGAGGAAGACCAAAAAUUUCAAUGUCUUAAGAUGUAUUUAAUGGCAAUGCAAAAGUCUUCCUGCUUUCGUGCUGAACUCUUUAGAAGCGAGGACUGUACUGCAAGACGAAGUUGAAUGUAAAGUGCUCCUGACCAUUUCUGAGGUUUUGCUUCUCUGAGCUACGCGUCGCAGCCAUGCAUAGUUGGUUUGAAGGCCGACUCCAUGUAUGAUACGCUUUGCUAAGAUGUGUAGAAUGUUCUGGAGCUUUCUCUCGUUAGGAAUCGGUGGGCGCAGCACCGUGGGCCGGAAGGGAACCUCAGCUGGCGCUCCCCACGCCCCGUGCAGCCUAAAUGAGCAGCCAAGAAGCUGAUAAUAUAUACUGAAUUUUCCUCUAUCCUGUACAUUUCAAAAAAAGGCACAUGCAAUAUUUACAUGUUUUAUUUAGUUUACAGAACGGAACCAAAAUGUAUGUUAUGUUUGCAAAAAUUUCACAAUGUAUAUUGGGUCUUUGUACAUUUUGCCUGACUUACCUUAAAUUUAAACUAUUUUUUGCUAUAUAAACUUUAACCGUUAUUAAACAGUGUUUUCUUUUGGGUAUGUAUUGUUUCUGGAUCUGGAGCUGUUAAAUAUAUUUCUUGCUAUUGUGUUAUGUCAGCACCUCCCCCCCAUCUUCCAUGCUGUACAUAGGGUUGGGAAUGAGCCAGGCUAGAGUAGUGCAUUGUAUUUAGUCUGUAUUGAUCAUGGAUACCCUCCUGAAUAGCCAUAUGCAAUAAAUAAAAUAAAU